GAUGAACGCUGGCGGCGUGCCUAAUACAUGCAAGUCGAGCGAACAGACGAGGAGCUUGCUCCUCUGACGUUAGCGGCGGACGGGUGAGUAACACGUGGAUAGCCUACCUAUAAGACUGGGAUAACUUCGGGAAACCGGAGCUAAUACCGGAUAAUAUAUUGAACCGCAUGGUUCAAUAGUGAAAGACGGUUUUGCUGUCACUUAUAGAUGGAUCCGCGCCGCAUUAGCUAGUUGGUAAGGUAACGGCUUACCAAGGCAACGAUGCGUAGCCGACCUGAGAGGGUGAUAGGCCACACUGGAACUGAGACACGGUCCAGACUCCUACGGGAGGCAGCAGUAGGGAAUCUUCCGCAAUAGGCGAAAGCUUGACGGAGCAACGCCGCGUGAGUGAUGAAGGUCUUCGGAUCGUAAAACUCUGUUAUUAGGGAAGAACAAAUGUGUAAGUAACUAUGCACGUCUUGACGGUACCUAAUCAGAAAGCCACGGCUAACUACGUG
RNAcentral lists this ribosomal RNA (497 nucleotides) under uncultured bacterium. RNAcentral describes it as "partial 16S ribosomal RNA". It matches the Rfam family "Bacterial small subunit ribosomal RNA", at positions 28 to 507 of the family's 1533-position model. The record is from RNAcentral.